Ictalurus punctatus (channel catfish) is the source of this 1606-nucleotide long non-coding RNA. Lineage: Eukaryota; Metazoa; Chordata; Actinopteri; Siluriformes; Ictaluridae. The record is from Ensembl.
GUACACGCACACGCUCUCUCUCUUUCUUUCGAUGAUUUAUGCACCGUGCUGACAUUUUUUUCAUAUUUCUACAUUUAUUCCUAAAGCUCGCCGCAGUUACUUUCUGGAAUCUUCUACACGCACGAAUGUGAAAUCUCGACUGCGUAAAUAUUGGCACCUUUUUUCUUUUUUUUUCUUAACUCGUGCAACCAGAAAACGUCAGUUAUUUAGCUAAUACGGAAGAAAAAAAAGAAGUCUAGCUACAGUGUGUUGAAUAAAAACAUGAUUCUGAGUCACGGAAGAAAUAAGCGAGGGAUAAAAACAACACGCGUGCUGUGACAGGGGAAAACUCCUCACUUAUUCUCGCGAGAUAAACACUGUGUUUAACAAUAUUUAUAGCGCAUUAAGAAAGGGGGCGCAAACUUUUGCAUUUAAUUACGUGUGUGAAUACUAAUCAUCUAAAGAAGAGAUCUGCAGUCAGUCGACAUUUCAGUCUUGUCGCACACACCUGAGAUCACACACACACACACACACACACACACACACACACACACACACACACACAGUGUGAAAUGCAGUGAACUCAGCGGGGGCACAGUUUCCUCCAUUACACUGAUUUAUUCGGCCCAGAUAUAGACAGACAGAAUGGUGUGUGUGUGUGUGUGUGUGUGUGUGUGUGUGUGUGUGUGUGUGUGUGUGUGUGUUAAUCAGUUCAUCAGGUUUUUGCUGCCCAGCAGAUUCAGAGGAAUUGAGCGAUCAUUUGUGAGGCACUUAGUCCUGAUUCACUAAUCACACACACACACACACACACACACACACACACACACACACACACGAUUAAUAACACCAAUAAAGUACAUUUUCAGGGCACUAAACGAGUCGAUUAAUCUCUGAGUUUGUUGAGGUUAUUGGCAGGAAGAAAAUAGUCAGCAAGUGUGAAGAAGGAAAAGAGGAAGAAGAUAAAGACAGAAAAAUGGAAAAGUCACAGAAGGAAGACAGAAGGAGAGAGAGAGAAAAGAGGAAGACGGAAGGAGAGAGAGAGAAAAGAGGAAGACAGAAGGAGAGAUAGAGAAAAGAGGAAGACGGAAGGAGAGAUAGAGAAAAGAGGAAGACGGAAGGAGAGCGAGAGAGAAAAGAGGAAGCCGGAAGGAGAGAUAGAGAAAAGAGGAAGAAGGAGAGCGAGAGAGAAAAGAGGAAGACAGAAGGAGAGAUAGAGAAAAGAGGAAGAAGGAGAGAGAGAAAAGAGGAAGACAGAAGGAGAGAUAGAGAAAAGAGGAAGACAGAAGGAGAGAUAGAGAAAAGAGGAAGACAGAAGGAGAGAUAGAGAAAAGAGGAAGAAGGAGAGAGAGAAAGAGGAAGAAGGAGAGCGAGAGAGAAAAGAGGAAGACAGAAGGAGAGAUAGAGUAAAGAGGAAGACAGAAGGAGAGAGAGAGAGAAAAGAGGAAGACGGAAGACAGGAAUGGAAGAGUGACGGAAGGAAAGAGGCUAAACGAGGAAGGAAGACAGAGAGACAGAAAAAAGAGGGAGGAAAAAAGAAGAGAGAGACAGAAAUCCAUGUGCACUUUGCAGGUGCUGAAAAACAUAUCGCUGCUCAGAACUCCUCAAAUGACACACACACUUACAGCAA